RNAcentral lists this unclassified non-coding RNA (348 nucleotides) under soil metagenome. RNAcentral describes it as "partial contains 5.8S ribosomal RNA, internal transcribed spacer 2, and large subunit ribosomal RNA". The stretch from base 1 to 120 matches the Rfam family "5.8S ribosomal RNA", at positions 35 to 154 of the family's 154-position model. The record is from RNAcentral.
GAUGAAGAACGUAGCGAAAUGCGAUAAGUAAUGUGAAUUGCAGAAUUCAGUGAAUCAUCGAAUCUUUGAACGCACAUUGCGCCAGCCAGUAUUCUGGCGGGCAUGCCUGUCUGAGCGUCAUUUCAACCCUCAUGCCCCUAGGGCGUGGUGUUGGGGAUCGGCCAAAGCCCGCGAGGGACGGCCGGCCCCUAAAUCUAGUGGCGGACCCGUCGUGGCCUCCUCUGCGAAGUAGUGAUAUUCCGCAUCGGAGAGCGACGAGCCCCUGCCGUUAAACCCCCAACUUUCCAAGGUUGACCUCAGAUCAGGUAGGAAUACCCGCUGAACUUAAGCAUAUCAAUAAGCGGAGGA